This 253-nucleotide ribosomal RNA is filed under the name uncultured Longilinea sp. RNAcentral describes it as "partial 16S ribosomal RNA". It matches the Rfam family "Bacterial small subunit ribosomal RNA", at positions 524 to 776 of the family's 1533-position model. The record is from RNAcentral. Lineage: Bacteria; Bacillati; Chloroflexota; Anaerolineae; Anaerolineales; Anaerolineaceae.
CACGUAGGAGGCGAGCGUUAUUCGGAUUUACUGGGUGUAAAGCGCGUGCAGGCGGUUCGGUAAGUUGGAUGUGAAAGCUCCUGGCUUAACUGGGAGAGGUCGUUCAAUACUGUCGGACUUGAGAGCAGUAGAGGGAGAUGGAAUUCCGGGUGUAGUGGUGAAAUGCGUAGAUAUCCGGAGGAACACCAGUGGCGAAAGCGGUCUCCUGGACUGUUUCUGACGCUCAGACGCGAAAGCUAGGGUAGCAAACGGG